AGUCUUAUAUUCAAUAAUGAUAUAAAAUUGCAAAUUUUAAGGGGUAAUAAUUAUUACUAAGGCUU
Molecule: transfer RNA, 65 nt
Filed under: Lymantria mathura (rosy gypsy moth)
Lineage: Eukaryota; Metazoa; Arthropoda; Insecta; Lepidoptera; Erebidae
Description: tRNA-Cys
Source: RNAcentral